This 440-nucleotide ribosomal RNA is filed under the name uncultured bacterium. RNAcentral's name for it is "partial 16S ribosomal RNA". It matches the Rfam family "Bacterial small subunit ribosomal RNA", at positions 338 to 795 of the family's 1533-position model. The record is from RNAcentral.
CCUACGGGAGGCAGCAGUGGGGAAUAUUGCACAAUGGGGGAAACCCUGAUGCAGCAACGCCGCGUGAAGGAUGACGGCUUUCGGGUUGUAAAGCUCUGUCAUCAGGGAAGAAAAUGACGGUACCUGAGGAAGAAGCCACGGCUAACUACGUGCCAGCAGCCGCGGUAAUACGUAGGGGGCGAGCGUUAUCCGGAUUUACUGGGCGUAAAGGGAGCGUAGGCGGUUUAUUAAGUCAGAAGUGAAAGCCCGGGGCUCAACUUCAGUACUGCAUUUGAAACUGUAGGACUAGAUUGCAGGAGAGGUAAGUGGAAUUCCUAGUGUAGCGGUGAAAUGCGUAGAGAUUAGGAGGAACACCAGUGGCGAAGGCGGCUCACUGGACUGUAACUGACGCUGAGGCUCGAAAGCGUGGGGAGCAAACAGGAUUAGAUACCCUAGUAGUC